GGCACUGGGGAGAAACAUUCAGAUAAAAGCAGAAGGAUCAAAGGGAAAGGGAAGCCGAUGAGCAGCUCCCUGGGAAUUUGUUGGGAAAAUAAAGGAAGUCGCUUCUAAAUGGGAUUUGCCUUAAUUCACACAGAGCUGGUCAGUGCUGAAGAUAUUGUUUAAAAGUAGACAUGUAUUUAUUUCAUUUUAAGUGAGAGCUCUCCUAUAAGGAACCCACCAGUGUAAAUGACCCACUUCUUUGCAAUUUUAUAGUCUUGAAGAUGGUUUGGAGAACCCUAAGAAAUUAAAAGUAGAAGCAGCCUCUUUUGCCAUGAUCCAAAUAAGAAGGCCCAAUCGGGAAAUGUGAGUGCAAAAGUGACCACUGAAUUCAAGGGAAAAGGAAAUUGGCGCAAUUACUCUUGCAAAGAAACCUCAGGCAACCUUUCAGAGUCGGGCACCGGGGCUUCCUCUCU
Molecule: long non-coding RNA, 452 nt
Organism: Sarcophilus harrisii (Tasmanian devil)
Lineage: Eukaryota; Metazoa; Chordata; Mammalia; Dasyuromorphia; Dasyuridae
Exons: 4
Source: RefSeq, a predicted model, not a curated record